Molecule: ribosomal RNA, 780 nt
Filed under: Nectria dematiosa
Lineage: Eukaryota; Fungi; Ascomycota; Sordariomycetes; Hypocreales; Nectriaceae
Description: eukaryotic LSU rRNA
Rfam family: Eukaryotic large subunit ribosomal RNA
Source: RNAcentral
CGGCGAGUGAAGCGGCAACAGCUCAAAUUUGAAAUCUGGCCCUUGUGGUCCGAGUUGUAAUUUGUAGAGGAUGCUUUUGGUGAGGUACCUUCCGAGUUCCCUGGAACGGGACGCCAUAGAGGGUGAGAGCCCCGUCUGGUUGGAUACCGAGCCUCUGUAAAGCUCCUUCGACGAGUCGAGUAGUUUGGGAAUGCUGCUCUAAAUGGGAGGUAUAUGUCUUCUAAAGCUAAAUAUUGGCCAGAGACCGAUAGCGCACAAGUAGAGUGAUCGAAAGAUGAAAAGCACUUUGAAAAGAGGGUUAAAUAGUACGUGAAAUUGUUGAAAGGGAAGCGCUUGUGACCAGACUUGGGCUUGGUUAAUCAUCCAGGGUUCUCCCUGGUGCACUUGGCCAGCCCAGGCCAGCAUCAGUUUGUCGCGGGGGAUAAAGGCGUCGGGAAUGUGGCUCCCCCGGGAGUGUUAUAGCCCUUCGUGUAAUACCCUGCUUUAGACUGAGGUUCGCGCAUCUGCAAGGAUGCUGGCGUAAUGGUCAUCAGCGACCCGUCUUGAAACACGGACCAAGGAGUCGUCUUCGUAUGCGAGUGUUCGGGUGUCAAACCCCUACGCGUAAUGAAAGUGAACGCAGGUGAGAGCUUCGGCGCAUCAUCGACCGAUCCUGAUGUUCUCGGAUGGAUUUGAGUAAGAGCAUACGGGGCCGGACCCGAAAGAAGGUGAACUAUGCCUGUGUAGGGUGAAGCCAGAGGAAACUCUGGUGGAGGCUCGCAGCGGUUCUGACGUGCAAAU